Molecule: ribosomal RNA, 270 nt
Filed under: uncultured archaeon
Lineage: Archaea
Description: partial 16S ribosomal RNA
Rfam family: Archaeal small subunit ribosomal RNA
Source: RNAcentral
CAGCACCUCAAGUGGUCAGGAUGAUUAUCGGGCCUAAAGCAUCCGUAGCCUGCUUUGUAAGUUUUCGGUUAAAUCCAUACGCUUAACGUAUGGGCUGCCGGGAAUACUGCAAAGCUAGGGAGUGGGAGAGGUAGACGGUACUCGGUAGGAAGGGGUAAAAUCCUUUGAUCUAUUGAUGACCACCUGUGGCGAAGGCGGUCUACCAGAACACGUCCGACGGUGAGGGAUGAAAGCUGGGGGAGCAAACCGGAUUAGAUACCCGAGUAGUCC